Molecule: ribosomal RNA, 400 nt
Filed under: uncultured bacterium
Lineage: Bacteria
Description: bacterial SSU rRNA
Rfam family: Bacterial small subunit ribosomal RNA
Source: RNAcentral
UGGGGAAUCUUCCACAAUGGACGAAAGUCCGAUGGAGCAACGCCGCGUGAGUGAAGAAGGGUUUCGGCUUGUAAAGCUCUGCUGUCGGGGACGAAUGUGAGAUACUUGAACAAAGUGUCUCAAUGACGAUACCUGACGAGGAAGCCACGGCUAACUACGUGCCAGCAGCCGCGGUAAUACGUAGGUGUCAAGCGUUGUCCGGAAUUAUUGGGCGUAAAGGGAGCGCAGGCGGGAAGGUAAGUCGGUCUUAAAAGUGCGGGGCUCAACCCCGUGAUGGGAUCGAAACUAUCUUUCUUGAGUGCAGGAGAGGAGAGUGGAAUUCCUAGUGUAGCGGUGAAAUGCGUAGAUAUUAGGAGGAACACCAGUGGCGAAGGCGACUUUCUGGACUGUAACUGACGCU